This 882-nucleotide long non-coding RNA is filed under the name Rhinopithecus bieti (black snub-nosed monkey). RNAcentral describes it as "lncRNA (ENSRBIG00000045368.1)". The record is from RNAcentral. Lineage: Eukaryota; Metazoa; Chordata; Mammalia; Primates; Cercopithecidae.
AGGUCAGGAAUUUGAGACCAGCCUGGCCAGCAUGGUGAAACCCCAUUAGCCAGGCAUGGUGGCGCACACCUGUAAUCCCAGUUACUUAGGAGGCUGAGGCAAGAGAAUUGCUUGAACCCAGCAGGAGGAGGUUGCAGUGAGCUGAGAUUGCACUACUGCACUCCCACCUGGGUGCAAGUGCAGCAAGACUUUGUCUCAAAAAAACAAAUAAAUAAAAAUAAAAUAACAGGAGAAAAGCACACAAAUAUAUUUCAUAUAAAUUGUAGGUGACAUGAGAGCCUUUGGAAAUGAAGACCCAAAGAAAUGAAGACAUCUGUAUAUUUGUAAGGUAAGUUUGAUGAAGAGUGGACAGUUGUGUAGAAGUGUGGUCAAAGGGGGUGUGAUGUGAUGGUAAUAAAUUGGGGGGACUUAGUAAGGUCUGUUUGUUCAGAUUCUUCUCUGUGUCCCUGUAUCUUCAUAUAUAAGGAUAUUUCUUUCCUUUGGGCAUAGGGAUAAUAUCUUUGGAAUGAGAGUCUUAUGACCUACCUUAUAGGAAGUUCAGGGAAUUCUUUUAUAACUGGCUUCAAGCGAGAAGGGCCCAGAGAAGAUGAGAGUGACCUUCCUGCUUCUACCACUUCUUCAAAGCACAAGUUCGUCCUAGUAUAGAUGCAUCAUCAAAUUAAGGUUGCAAUUGCCAGAAGAUCUCAAUUGCAGGGGAUUCUGCGACUCAUCAUUAUUCCAGCACACAGUCAUCUGCAGGGUGCUAAGGAUACAAUGAUCCUGGAACAUGAUGCGAAAAAUCAGGAACUUGCAGCUGAACCAGGGCAGCCAUUGAGAAGCGGCCAUCCUCCCAUUUCUGCCCCUUUCCUCGGAAAAGCCCAAGAGAAGUGUUUCAAGUGGUGA